UACGGAGGGGGCUAGCGUUGUUCGGAGUCACUGGGCGUAAAGCGCACGUAGGCGGCUUGGCAAGUUGGGCGUGAAAGCCCGGGGCUCAACCCCGGAGGUGCGCCCGAGACUGCUGAGCUGGAGGCCGGGAGAGGGCGGUGGAAUUCCCAGUGUAGAGGUGAAAUUCGUAGAUAUUGGGAAGAACACCGGUGGCGAAGGCGACCGCCUGGCCCGGACCUGACGCUGAGGUGCGAAAGCGUGGGGAGCAAACAGG
Molecule: unclassified non-coding RNA, 253 nt
Filed under: uncultured Alphaproteobacteria bacterium
Lineage: Bacteria; Pseudomonadati; Pseudomonadota; Alphaproteobacteria
Description: contains 16S-23S intergenic spacer region
Rfam family: Bacterial small subunit ribosomal RNA
Source: RNAcentral